CCUAACACAUGCAAGUCGAACGGUAACAGGAAGAAGCUUGCUUCUUUGCUGACGAGUGGCGGACGGGUGAGUAAUGUCUGGGAAACUGCCUGAUGGAGGGGGAUAACUACUGGAAACGGUAGCUAAUACCGCAUAACGUCGCAAGACCAAAGAGGGGGACCUUCGGGCCUCUUGCCAUCGGAUGUGCCCGGAUGGGAUUAGCUUGUAGGUGGGGUAACGGCUCACCUAGGCGACGAUCCCUAGCUGGUCUGAGAGGAUGACCAGCCACACUGGAACUGAGACACGGUCCAGACUCCUACGGGAGGCAGCAGUGGGGAAUAUUGCACAAUGGGCGCAAGCCUGAUGCAGCCAUGCCGCGUGUAUGAAGAAGGCCUUCGG
RNAcentral lists this ribosomal RNA (378 nucleotides) under uncultured bacterium. RNAcentral's name for it is "bacterial SSU rRNA". It matches the Rfam family "Bacterial small subunit ribosomal RNA", at positions 47 to 421 of the family's 1533-position model. The record is from RNAcentral.